This 774-nucleotide ribosomal RNA is filed under the name uncultured Neocallimastigales. RNAcentral's name for it is "partial large subunit ribosomal RNA". It matches the Rfam family "Eukaryotic large subunit ribosomal RNA", at positions 26 to 643 of the family's 3401-position model. The record is from RNAcentral. Lineage: Eukaryota; Fungi; Neocallimastigomycota; Neocallimastigomycetes; Neocallimastigales.
CGCAUCUGUGCAUGCAGCAUAUCAAUAAGCGGAGGAAAAGAAACUAACAAGGAUUCCCCUAGUAACGGCGAGUGAAGCGGGAAGAGCUCAAAUUUGAAAUCUUAAAGGGUUUCCCUUUACGAAUUGUAGUUUAAAGAAGUGUUUUCUGUUGAGGUUUUGGUAAAAGUUCUUUGGAAUAGGACAUCAUAGAGGGUGAGAAUCCCGUAUUUGACCUUUACUUUCAACUUUGUGAUACACUUUCAAAGAGUCGGAUUGUUUGGGAAUGCAGUCCAAAAUGGGUGGUAAAUUUCAUCUAAAGCUAAAUAUUGGCGAGAGACCGAUAGCGAACAAGUACCGUGAGGGAAAGAUGAAAAGAACUUUGAAAAGAGAGUUAAACAGUACGUGAAAUUGUCAAAAGGGAAGCGUUUGACACCAGUGUUGUUUUUCUGAAAAUCAAUUAAAGAACUGUUUAUGCUAAGCUUGUUUAGACUUUAUCAGCUAUCUGUUUAGUUUUGAGCUUUUCUUUAAUGCACUUUUCAGUUAACAAGUCAACAUCAAUUUCUUUUGCUGUAAAAAAGCUUGAGGAAGGUGGCUUGAGAUUCGUCUUAAGUGUUUAUAGCCUCUUGCCUAUGCAGUCGGAGAGAUUGAGGUCUGCAGCGUAGAUCCUUCGGGGCUAAAUGCAUUUGUGCUAAGUUAUAGCAUUUUAUAGACAACUUGUUGACUAUGAUUUGUCUUGUAGCUUACUCGCUUAUGUUAUUUUACCUACGCUUAGGAUGUUGAAUCUGUGCGAGACUA